GAUGAAGAACGUAGUGAAAUGCGAUAAGUAAUGUGAAUUGCAGAAUUCAGUGAAUCAUCGAAUCUUUGAACGCAUCUUGCGCUCCUUGGUAUUCUGAGGAGCAUGCCUGUUUGAGUGUCAUUAAAUUCUCAACCGCACUGACUUUGAAUUGGUGUGGCUUGGAUUUGGGGGGAAAAUUGUUGUGGGCUUUUUUGUAUAGUCUGCUCCCCUGAAAUUGAUUAGCGGUACCUUUGUGGAACUGUCUACAGGUGUGAUAAUUAUCUACAUCCUAGACAUCUGCUGGAAUGCUGCUUUCUAAACCUUACUUGUAUUGACAAUCUUGACCUCAAAUCAGGUAGGACUACCCGCUGAACUUAAGCAUAUCAAUAAGCGGAGGA
This 377-nucleotide unclassified non-coding RNA is filed under the name soil metagenome. RNAcentral's name for it is "partial contains 5.8S ribosomal RNA, internal transcribed spacer 2, and large subunit ribosomal RNA". The stretch from base 1 to 120 matches the Rfam family "5.8S ribosomal RNA", at positions 35 to 154 of the family's 154-position model. The record is from RNAcentral.